Long non-coding RNA from Osmia bicornis bicornis, 504 nucleotides. RefSeq lists it as uncharacterized. NCBI's taxonomy places the organism in Eukaryota, Metazoa, Arthropoda, Insecta, Hymenoptera, Megachilidae. The transcript has 2 exons. The record is from RefSeq and is a predicted model, not a curated record.
GAGAAUUGAGGAAUUAAGAAAAUAAGAAUAAAGAAUUUAAAAUAAAGAAAGAAAUAAAGAAAGAAAGAAUGAAAUACCGUGAAGGUAUAGUAUAGAUACAAUGAUUUGAAUUUCAAAAUAAUAUAACCAAUAUAACCAUAGAUAAUAUAACGAUAAAAUAGACACCUUCAAGAUGUCGGGUGUCAGAAUAUAUACAGAGAUAUAACCUUAACCCUAACCCCUAAUGUGUCAAAACAAGGAUUAUCAACAGGAAGCAAGAACAGUGUAAGAAGACUCGUUAAGAAUGGGAACAAGAACAAGAUUACCUACUAAAAGCCUGAUAGUCAACUCAGAAAAAGGAAACAAGCAAGAAAAGCACACUGUCACCCUAUUACGACAGAACUAUAAAAUAACAAUACCAGAGAAAGACAUCAUGAAUUAAUUGAAUUAAAGAAUAUCAAAGAAGAAUCAGAAUAUCCAAGGAUAUAACAGGCGACAACCAAGGAGGCGACAGUAAAAUAAAAA